The sequence is a transfer RNA, 72 nucleotides long. It matches the Rfam family "tRNA". From Rfam's summary of the family: Transfer RNA (tRNA) molecules are approximately 80 nucleotides in length. Their secondary structure includes four short double-helical elements and three loops (D, anti-codon, and T loops).
CUUUAAUUAACUUAAUUUCUAAAGUAUUUGACUCUUGAUCAUAAGAAGGUGGAGAAUAACCAUCAUUAAAGA